This 338-nucleotide unclassified non-coding RNA is filed under the name soil metagenome. Its description in RNAcentral is "partial contains 5.8S ribosomal RNA, internal transcribed spacer 2, and large subunit ribosomal RNA". The stretch from base 1 to 120 matches the Rfam family "5.8S ribosomal RNA", at positions 35 to 154 of the family's 154-position model. The record is from RNAcentral.
GAUGAAGAACGCAGCGAAAUGCGAUAAGUAAUGUGAAUUGCAGAAUUCAGUGAAUCAUCGAAUCUUUGAACGCACAUUGCGCCCGCCAGCACUCUGGCGGGCAUGCCUGUUCGAGCGUCAUUUCAACCAUCAAGCCCCCAGGGGCUUGUGCUGGGGCCCUGCGGCUGCCCGCAGGCCCCUAAAAGCAGUGGCGGGCUCGCUAUCACACCGAGUGCAGUAGAUUACUCUUCGCUCAGGGCGUGUGGCGGGUUCCAGCCGUGAAACCCCCUACUUCUCAAGGUUGACCUCGGAUCAGGUAGGAAUACCCGCUGAACUUAAGCAUAUCAAUAAGCGGAGGA